RNAcentral lists this ribosomal RNA (301 nucleotides) under uncultured bacterium. RNAcentral describes it as "partial 16S ribosomal RNA". It matches the Rfam family "Bacterial small subunit ribosomal RNA", at positions 509 to 809 of the family's 1533-position model. The record is from RNAcentral.
CAGCCGCCACGGUAAUACGAAGGGGGCUAGCGUUGAUCGGAAUUACUGGGCGUAAAGCGCACGUAGGCGGUUUCUUAAGUCUGAUGUGAAAGCCCCCGGCUCAACCGGGGAGGGUCAUUGGAAACUGGGAAACUUGAGUGCAGAAGAGGAGAGUGGAAUUCCACGUGUAGCGGUGAAAUGCGUAGAGAUGUGGAGGAACACCAGUGGCGAAGGCGACUCUCUGGUCUGUAACUGACGCUGAGGAGCGAAAGCGUGGGGAGCGAACAGGAUUAGAUACCCCCGUAGUCCCUGUCUCUUAUAA